RNAcentral lists this long non-coding RNA (1946 nucleotides) under Pongo abelii (Sumatran orangutan). RNAcentral's name for it is "lncRNA (ENSPPYG00000035554.1)". Lineage: Eukaryota; Metazoa; Chordata; Mammalia; Primates; Hominidae. The record is from RNAcentral.
CCCAAAUCAAUUAACAAUAGAGGAAAGUCACGCUGUUUUAAUUUUUCUCUUUAUACUGCUAUCUCCUGUUUCCCCUGUUUUUACACUUCUUUGCAGCUCACUUUCCUUAUCUGUAAGAUAUUCUUAGGAUGAACUUAGUAAGAAAUGUGCAAGAUCUAGAUGAAGACCCACCAGAUAGGAUGCUCUCUUGCAGACACGCAACUCACUGACUCAACCAAUGAGGAAAUUAUCCCACAAAGCAGAUAAUCCUAAUGGAGGGCAGAAUUCAGGACUGAGCAUCUCAGUGAUGCCGCCGGGAACCCAGGCUUCUCUGUCCCUUCACCGGACUAACCGAGUUCGAGACCACACGGGGGUCAGGUAGCCAAGGCUGGGCUUUGACGGUAGGAAUGAAGGAGGUGAGGGUGGCGCGCCGCAGGCCUGGGCCACUCCCUGAGUAGGGCGGCGGCGGCGGCGGCGGCAGCGGCUGCAGGCCCGGCCGAUUGGGAGGAGACAGCGGUGCCUCCUGGGCCGCGCACCCUACCCUUCCCGGGGUCCCGGCUCGCGCCGCGGCCGCGCGAGGCGCGCUCGAGCGGAAGUGGCGGCGAUCCCGCCGGAAGCGCGCGGCUGCGGCGCGGGAAGCAACCCAGAGCCCUCCUCCCACCUGCUCUGUGUAGGAGACAGCCUGCGGAGCCCACUGCCGGCGCGCCGAGAGCCCAGCAGCUCUUGAGUCCGGGAAGCAAGGGUGGGCGGAGGGACGAGCCAGUGGCAAUGACCCAGACUCCGACCCCCAUUGCUGACCCAGCGGAGCUGCUUGGCUGAAGCAGAGUCUUCCUCCUGGUGUUCCAGCAGGAGUUUAAGGUCCUGCUCCAUAUAGGACAGCCAGAUUCUGAGGGCAAUGUUGAGAUCCUCAUCUCCAGAAGGUGCUGGUGCCAGAAACAUGACAAAAGGCUGAUUCACGGGCCAGGCGCAGUGGCUCACGCCUGUAUUCCCAGCACUUUGGGAGGCCAAGGCGGGUGGAUCAUGAGGUCAAGAGUUCGAGACCAUCCUGGCCAAUAUGGUGAAACCCUGUCUCUACUAAAAAUACAAAAAAUUAGCUGGGCGUGGUGGCGCGCACCUGUAGUCCCGGCUACUUGGCAGGCUGAGGCAGGAGAAUUGCUCGAACCGGGAGGAGGAGGUUGCAGUGAGCCAAGAUGGCACCACUGCACUCCAGCCUGGUGACAGAGCAAGACUCCAUCUCAGAAUAAAUAAAUAAAUAAAAAAGGCUGAUUCACAUCUUGGCAGGGAGAUCCUGAAAGAAACAGGCUGGGGGUAAGGAGCUUCAUGUGCCCAGGCCCAAGGUGGUAGAAACCUAGGCCAUCUGUGCUAUGGGAUCCAUCCUCUCACUUGCACAACUUCCCUCCCACAGGACUGGGACUCCGUCUCACAUCCUGGGAAGCUAGGAUUCCUUGGUUUUCAGAGUAAUCAUGGAAGCCCCGGAAUGAGGCACUGUGGGAGGCCACUGGGAAAUCCAAAGAAGAAGAGGUUUGAAGAUCUCCUAUCCCAGACCCUUCCCUCCAUCUGCCCCUCCAAACCUCUCUUUUAAGAGAUUGAGAAGGAAUCCAGCUGGCUUCCACUUUCUGUGACAAAACUCCUGCCUCGGUGCACGACUCCAUUUCUCUGCAGUUUGUGCAUCCCAUAAAAAAGUAAAAUAAAAAAUAAAAACUCCAGCCCAGAAAGUCCUGUACUCAGUGAUUCUCACACUUAGAAUGAACCCAGGAGCACUAUAAACAUACAGCUCACCCUGCACAGCCUCCCUCCCUUCCAGCAGUCAAGCAUACUGGCAAAUGACUUCACCUUCCUGUUCUUCAGUCUCCUCGCCUGUAAAAUGGGGCUACUGACAGCAGCCUACUUACAGAUUUUUCCCCAAGGAUUAAAGGAAUGAAUGAAUAUGGUAAAGCACUUAGAACACAUGGGAAGUGCUUAAUAAA